GACGAACGCUGGCGGCGUGCUUAACACAUGCAAGUCGAACGGACAGGCCCUGCUUUUGCGGGGUGCUCGAUUGGCGAACGGGUGAGUAACACGUGUGUAACCUGCCCUUGACAUUGGGAUAACUUUAGGAAACUGGGGCUAAUACCGGAUAGGAGCUCCUGCUGCAUUGUGGGGGUUGGAGAGUUUCGGCGGUUGGGGAUGGACUCGCGGGUGAUCAGCUUGUUGGUGGGGUAGUGGCUUACCAAGCCUUGGAGGGGUAGCCGGCCUGAGAGGGUGACCGGCCACAUUACGACUGAGAUACGGCCCAGACUCCUACGGGAGGCAGCAGUGGAGAAUAUUGCACAGUGGGCGGAAGCCUGAUGUAGCAACGCCGCGUGCGGGAUGACGGGCUUCGGGUUGUAAACCGCUUUCGCCUGUGACGAAGAGUGAGUGACGGUAAUGGGUAAAGAAGCACCGGCUAACUACGUG
This 468-nucleotide ribosomal RNA is filed under the name uncultured bacterium. Its description in RNAcentral is "partial 16S ribosomal RNA". It matches the Rfam family "Bacterial small subunit ribosomal RNA", at positions 28 to 507 of the family's 1533-position model. The record is from RNAcentral.